GGAGCCUGACGAGACGGUGAAGGUGCUAAAGGAGAAGAUAGAAGCUGAGAAGGGUCGUGAUGCCUUCCCCGUGGCUGGACAGAAACUCAUCUAUGCCGGCAAGAUCUUGAGUGACGAUGUCCCUAUCAGGGACUAUCGCAUCGAUGAGAAGAACUUUGUGGUCGUCAUGGUGACCAAGACCAAAGCCGGCCAGGGUACCUCAGCACCCCCAGAGGCCUCACCCACAGCUGCCCCAGAGUCCUCUACAUCCUUCCCGCCUGCCCCCACCUCAGGCAUGUCCCAUCCCCCACCUGCCGCCAGAGAGGACAAGAGCCCAUCAGAGGAAUCCGCCCCCACGACGUCCCCAGAGUCUGUGUCAGGCUCUGUUCCCUCUUCAGGUAGCAGCGGGCGAGAGGAAGACGCGGCCUCCACGCUAGUGACGGGCUCUGAGUAUGAGACGAUGCUGACGGAGAUCAUGUCCAUGGGCUAUGAGCGAGAGCGGGUCGUGGCCGCCCUGAGAGCCAGCUACAACAACCCCCACCGAGCCGUGGAGUAUCUGCUCACGGGAAUUCCUGGGAGCCCCGAGCCAGAACACGGUUCUGUCCAGGAGAGCCAGGUAUCGGAGCAGCCGGCCACGGAAGCAGGAGAGAACCCCCUGGAGUUCCUGCGGGACCAGCCCCAGUUCCAGAACAUGCGGCAGGUGAUUCAGCAGAACCCUGCGCUGCUGCCCGCCCUGCUCCAGCAGCUGGGCCAGGAGAACCCUCAGCUUUUACAGGUCUGGAAAGCAGGACUAAGCACAUGCUUCCCCCACGCCCCUGUGCUUCCCGUGACCUGGUGACCCCCAUGGUUUCUC
Molecule: small RNA, 832 nt
Filed under: Pan troglodytes (chimpanzee)
Lineage: Eukaryota; Metazoa; Chordata; Mammalia; Primates; Hominidae
Description: processed transcript
Source: RNAcentral